CCGAGAGGCGUAGGCGAUGGACAACCGGGUUGAUAUUCCCGUACCCGCGAAAGAGCGACCCUGACGAACCUCGUUGUGCUAACCACCCGAACCUCGGGAGGUCUUCGGACCGAACGAGGGGAGCGUGGGAACCUGACGGGUAGUAGUCAAGCGAUGGGGUGACGCAGGAAGGUAGCUGAGCCCGGCCGGUGGUUGUGCCGGGGUAAGCGUGUAGGCCGUGCCGUAGGCAAAUCCGCGGCGCAUAUAGGCUGAGACGUGAUGCCGAGCCGAUCCAGGUGAAGUCAGUGAUCCUAUGCUGCCGAGAAAAGCCUCUAGCGAGUUCUUAGCGGCCCGUACCCCAAACCGACACAUGG
RNAcentral lists this ribosomal RNA (353 nucleotides) under uncultured Actinomycetes bacterium. Its description in RNAcentral is "bacterial LSU rRNA". It matches the Rfam family "Bacterial large subunit ribosomal RNA", at positions 1402 to 1663 of the family's 2925-position model. The record is from RNAcentral. Lineage: Bacteria; Bacillati; Actinomycetota; Actinomycetes.